This 441-nucleotide ribosomal RNA is filed under the name uncultured bacterium. RNAcentral describes it as "partial 16S ribosomal RNA". It matches the Rfam family "Bacterial small subunit ribosomal RNA", at positions 338 to 795 of the family's 1533-position model. The record is from RNAcentral.
CCUACGGGUGGCAGCAGUGGGGAAUAUUGCACAAUGGGGGAAACCCUGAUGCAGCAACGCCGCGUGAGUGAAGAAGUAUUUCGGUAUGUAAAGCUCUAUCAGCAGCGAAGAAGACAGACGGUACCUGACUCAGAAGCCUCGGCGAACUACGCGCCAGCAGCAGCGGUAAUACGGAGGGGGCAAGCGUUAUGCGGAUUUAGUGGGUGUAAAGGGAGCGUAGACGGCUGUGCAAGUCUGAAGUGAAAGCCCGUGGCUCAACCGCGGAACUGCUUUGGAAACUGUAUAGCUUGAGUACUGGAGAGGCAGGCGGAAUUCCAAGUGUAGCGGUGAAAUGCGUAGAGAUUAGGAGGAACACCGGAGGCGAAGGCGGCCUGCUGGACAGAAACUGACGUUGAGGUUCGAAAGCGUGGGGAGCAAACAGGAUUAGAUACCCGUGUAGUC